This is a long non-coding RNA of Phodopus roborovskii (desert hamster), 749 nucleotides long. RefSeq lists it as uncharacterized. The record is from RefSeq and is a predicted model, not a curated record. Lineage: Eukaryota; Metazoa; Chordata; Mammalia; Rodentia; Cricetidae. The transcript has 2 exons.
CCCUGCAAUAGGAAAAUUGGAGCACCUCCUGAGUCCCUGAUCUUAGCCUCUGGGGGUCGCUUAAGGUACUUCACGGCCAAACACUGGCUCCGCCUCGCCUCACCCCCACUGACCAGGAAGCUGCUGCUCAGCAGGAGGGCCCCAAUGCAUGCAAAUCUCUAGAGAAAAAACCCAGGCCUUGAGGAAGUGCGGGGGUGGGGUGGGGGUAUUGUAUAAUUUAUCAGGCUGCUGACUUCCUUCUUGGAGGAAGAAGCGGAGGAUUCGGGGUCACACUGUCACCGAUUAGGGGUAAAGAACGGUCAAACUGGACCCCGCACCCACCCCCAGCACCUAUGGGACUGUCAAAAGCCUUACAGGUCCCUAAUAGACCCCUUGGACCAGAGGACCCAGUACCCCUAAGAGCUGAGACCGUCACCAUACUCAGGGGCAGUUGGUGUAAAGCUGGAAACUUAGCAAUGUUGCAGUGUUCCUGUGGCUCUGGUGUGAUGUGCUGAAGCUCCCCCAGGCCCCCAGUCAGAAGUGGUAGAAGGCUGAAAAUUCAACUGUGGUAUAUCUCCAAGAUGGGUGGUGUUAGGGUCAAGAGAUUAUGGGACUGGCAUGGCUUUAAAGAGAACACUCACACACACCCCCCGACACUAUGAGGUACCCUUUGCCUCAGUCCUCUGCUGGAAAGAUGGCUGUCAUCAAAUACACUCUGGACUUUGGACCAGGUCCUUAAGCCAAAAUAAACAUACUUUCUUUAUGACUCA